CCCACCAAGCCUAAGACGGGUAGCUGGUCUGAGAGGAUGAUCAGCCACACUGGAACUGAGACACGGUCCAGACUCCUACGGGAGGCAGCAGUGGGGAAUCUUGCGCAAUGGACGAAAGUCUGACGCAGCGACGCCGCGUGGGUGAUGAAGGCCUUCGGGUUGUAAAGCCCUGUGGGGAGGGACGAAUAAGUUCCAGCUAAUACCUGGAGCGAUGACGGUACCUCCUUAGCAAGCACCGGCUAACUCUGUGCCAGCAGCCGCGGUAAGACAGAGGGUGCAAACGUUGUUCGGAAUUACUGGGCGUAAAGCGCGUGUAGGCGGCCAUACAAGUCGGAUGUGAAAGCCCUCGGCUCAACCGGGGAAGUGCACUCGAAACUGCAAGGCUAGAGUCUCGGAGAGGAUCGUGGAAUUCUCGGUGUAGAGGUGAAAUUCGUAGAUAUCGAGAGGAACACCGGUGGCGAAGGCGGCGAUCUGGACGAUGACUGACGCUGAGACGCGAAAGCGUGGGGAGCAAACAGGAU
Molecule: ribosomal RNA, 521 nt
Filed under: uncultured bacterium
Lineage: Bacteria
Description: bacterial SSU rRNA
Rfam family: Bacterial small subunit ribosomal RNA
Source: RNAcentral